RNAcentral lists this ribosomal RNA (1802 nucleotides) under Acinetobacter baumannii. RNAcentral describes it as "bacterial LSU rRNA". It matches the Rfam family "Bacterial large subunit ribosomal RNA", at positions 1110 to 2925 of the family's 2925-position model. The record is from RNAcentral. Lineage: Bacteria; Pseudomonadati; Pseudomonadota; Gammaproteobacteria; Moraxellales; Moraxellaceae.
AAGCAGCCACCCUUUAAAGAAAGCGUAAUAGCUCACUAGUCGAGUCGGCCUGCGCGGAAGAUGUAACGGGGCUAAAACUAUGUGCCGAAGCUGCGGAUUUGACAUUAGUCAAGUGGUAGGGGANNNNUGCGAAUGCUGACGUGAGUAACGACAAAACGGGUGAAAAACCCGUUCGCCGAAAGACCAAGGGUUCCAGUCCAACGUUAAUCGGGGCUGGGUGAGUCGACCCCUAAGGCGAGGCCGAAAGGCGUAGUCGAUGGGAAAAUGGUUAAUAUUCCAUUACUUCUGUGUAAUGCGAUGAGAGGACGGAGAAGGCUAAAUCAGCCUGGCGUUGGUUGUCCAGGUGAAAGGAUGUAGGCAUGUAUCUUAGGCAAAUCCGGGGUACUCUAUGCUGAGAUCUGAUAGCAAGCUGUACUUGUACAGCGAAGUGGUUGAUGCCAUGCUUCCAGGAAAAGUCUCUAAGCUUCAGUUACACAGGAAUCGUACCCGAAACCGACACAGGUGGUCAGGUCGAGUAGACCAAGGCGCUUGAGAGAACUCUGCUGAAGGAACUAGGCAAAAUGGUACCGUAACUUCGGGAGAAGGUACGCUGUUGUUGGUGAUGGAACUCGCUUCCUGAGCUGACGACAGCCGCAGAAACCAGGCCGCUGCAACUGUUUAUUAAAAACAUAGCACUCUGCAAACACGAAAGUGGACGUAUAGGGUGUGAUGCCUGCCCGGUGCUGGAAGGUUAAUUGAUGGGGUUAGCGUAAGCGAAGCUCUUGAUCGAAGCCCCAGUAAACGGCGGCCGUAACUAUAACGGUCCUAAGGUAGCGAAAUUCCUUGUCGGGUAAGUUCCGACCUGCACGAAUGGCAUAAUGAUGGCGGCGCUGUCUCCAGCAGAGGCUCAGUGAAAUCGAAAUCGCUGUGAAGAUGCAGUGUACCCGCGGCUAGACGGAAAGACCCCGUGAACCUUUACUGCAGCUUGACACUGAACUUUGACCUUACUUGUGUAGGAUAGGUGGGAGGCUUUGAAGCUGGAACGCUAGUUCCAGUGGAGCCGUCCUUGAAAUACCACCCUGGUAAUGUUGAGGUUCUAACUCUGUCCCGUGAUCCGGGACGAGGACCGUGUCUGGUGGGUAGUUUGACUGGGGCGGUCUCCUCCUAAAGAGUAACGGAGGAGUACGAAGGUGCGCUCAGCGUGGUCGGAAAUCACGCGUAGAGUAUAAAGGCAAAAGCGCGCUUAACUGCGAGACCCACAAGUCGAGCAGGUACGAAAGUAGGUCUUAGUGAUCCGGUGGUUCUGUAUGGAAGGGCCAUCGCUCAACGGAUAAAAGGUACUCUGGGGAUAACAGGCUGAUACCGCCCAAGAGUUCAUAUCGACGGCGGUGUUUGGCACCUCGAUGUCGGCUCAUCUCAUCCUGGGGCUGAAGCAGGUCCCAAGGGUAUGGCUGUUCGCCAUUUAAAGAGGUACGCGAGCUGGGUUUAGAACGUCGUGAGACAGUUCGGUCCCUAUCUACCGUGGGCGCUGGAAAUUUGAGAGGAUCUGCUCCUAGUACGAGAGGACCAGAGUGGACGAACCUCUGGUGUACCGGUUGUGACGCCAGUCGCAUCGCCGGGUAGCUAUGUUCGGAAGGGAUAACCGCUGAAAGCAUCUAAGCGGGAAGCCUACCUCAAGAUAAGAUUUCCCUAGGACUUUAUGUCCUCUAAAGAGCCGUUCGAGACUAGGACGUUGAUAGGUUGGAUGUGGAAGCAUAGUGAUAUGUGAAGCUGACCAAUACUAAUUGCUCGUGAGGCUUGACUAUACAACACCCAAGCAGUUG